RNAcentral lists this ribosomal RNA (253 nucleotides) under uncultured bacterium. RNAcentral's name for it is "partial 16S ribosomal RNA". It matches the Rfam family "Bacterial small subunit ribosomal RNA", at positions 524 to 776 of the family's 1533-position model. The record is from RNAcentral.
GACGUAGGGCGCGAGCGUUGUCCGGAUUUAUUGGGCGUAAAGAGCGUGUAGGCGGCCCGAUAAGUCCGCUGUGAAAGUCCAGGGCUCAACCCUGGGAUGCCGGUGGAUACUGUCGGGCUCGAGUCCGGAAGAGGAGUGUGGAAUUCCUGGUGUAGCGGUGAAAUGCGCAGAUAUCAGGAAGAACACCCGUGGCGAAGGCGGCUCUCUGGGACGGUACUGACGCUGAGACGCGAAAGCGUGGGGAGCGAACAGG